GGACUACAGGGGUAUCUAAUCCCGUUUGCUCCCCUGGCCUUCGAGCCUCAGUGUCAGGAAAUUUCCAGAGGCCUGCUUUCGCCGUUGGUCUUCCUCACGAUAUCUACGCAUUUCACUGCUACACCGUGAAUUCCGGCCUCCUCUCAAUUCCUCGAGCCGGGCAGUAUCAAAUGCGGUUCGGUGUUGAGCACCGAAAUUUGACACCUGACUUACCCGACCACCUACGCUCCCUUUACGCCCAAUGAAUCCGAACAACGCUUGGGACCUCUGUAUUACCGCGGCUGCUGGCAC
RNAcentral lists this ribosomal RNA (291 nucleotides) under uncultured Verrucomicrobiota bacterium. RNAcentral's name for it is "uncultured Verrucomicrobia bacterium partial 16S ribosomal RNA". Lineage: Bacteria; Pseudomonadati; Verrucomicrobiota. The record is from RNAcentral.